AAUAAGGUUGUUUUUACAACCACAAACCUGAAAUCAUGAGAAAAAU
This is a non-coding RNA of Nippostrongylus brasiliensis, 46 nucleotides long. The record is from Rfam. Lineage: Eukaryota; Metazoa; Nematoda; Chromadorea; Rhabditida; Heligmosomidae.